CCCCAGAUGUUGCUGAACUACAACUCCCAUGAUUCCCUGGCAAUCUGUUUAAUUGAAAGAAUAAUGGGAGUUGUAGUUCAGCAACAUCUGGGG
RNAcentral lists this microRNA precursor (93 nucleotides) under Pelobates cultripes (western spadefoot toad). Lineage: Eukaryota; Metazoa; Chordata; Amphibia; Anura; Pelobatidae. The record is from RNAcentral.